Molecule: ribosomal RNA, 147 nt
Filed under: Stramenopiles sp.
Lineage: Eukaryota
Description: partial small subunit ribosomal RNA
Rfam family: Eukaryotic small subunit ribosomal RNA
Source: RNAcentral
GUUGGUGGAGUGAUUUGUCUGGUUAAUUCCGUUAACGAACGAGACCCCCGCCUGCUAAAUAGUGAUUAUAAUGCAUAGCAUUGUGAUUUUAAUCUUCUUAGAGGGACUUUUGGUGACUAACCAAAGGAAGUUGGGGGCAAUAACAGG